GCCGGAUUUGCCACCGCCUCCCUCGUUGACAGGCUUACAGCCAUGCAGGGUGUCACUCCCUUUCCAGGGCUGAAACCUUUGCUGGAGACAAGCAAAUGCUAUAAGGAUUGCAGCCUGAUCACAGAGCCAUAGCAAGGUACGCUGCAGUGCAGCCAAAGGCUCUGCCAAGGUGGAGAAACCAAACCUGUGUUGUAUUUCCUGAGGCUGAUCAGCACAGAUGAUCAGAUAAGAAUUAUUAUGCCAGCUAAAAGGGGGUGGGCAGCGGUAAACACACACUUUUUGUAUUAUAAGCGAAGGGGGAAUUCAGCAAAUGUAUUUUACAAGAAACAUCUGCAGUUUCCAGGCAAGCAGAUGCACCUUAACCAUUACUAUUUCUGAAGAAAGAUGUCUUUGGAGAAAAGGAAGACCCUCGUA
Chroicocephalus ridibundus (black-headed gull) is the source of this 414-nucleotide long non-coding RNA. RefSeq lists it as uncharacterized. The record is from RefSeq and is a predicted model, not a curated record. The transcript is spliced from 3 exons. NCBI's taxonomy places the organism in Eukaryota, Metazoa, Chordata, Aves, Charadriiformes, Laridae.